CCUACGGGCGGCAGCAGUGAGGAAUAUUGGUCAAUGGACGAGAGUCUGAACCAGCCAAGUAGCGUGAAGGAUGACUGCCCUAUGGGUUGUAAACUUCUUUUAUAAAGGAAUAAAACGAGGCACGUGUGCCUUUUUGCAUGUACUUUAUGAAUAAGGAUCGGCUAACUCCGUGCCAGCAGCCGCGGUAAUACGGAGGAUCCGAGCGUUAUCCGGAUUUAUUGGGUUUAAAGGGAGCGUAGAUGGGUUGUUAAGUCAGUUGUGAAAGUUUGCGGCUCAACCGUAAAAUUGCAAUUGAUACUGGCAGUCGUGAGUACAGUUGAGGUAGGCGGAAUUCGUGGUGUAGCGGUGAAAUGCUUAGAUAUCACGAAGAACCCCUAUUGCGAAGGCAGCUUACUAAACUGUGACUGACAUUGAUGCUCGAAAGUGUGGGUAUCAAACAGGAGUAGAUACCCCGGUAGUC
RNAcentral lists this ribosomal RNA (460 nucleotides) under uncultured bacterium. RNAcentral's name for it is "partial 16S ribosomal RNA". It matches the Rfam family "Bacterial small subunit ribosomal RNA", at positions 338 to 795 of the family's 1533-position model. The record is from RNAcentral.